AGCAAUUGGUGGCAGGGACGGGUGGAAGGCUCCUCCAAGGAGUCAGCAGGAUUGAUCCCUUCCCCUGAGCUGCAGGAAUGGCGAGUGGCAAGUAUGGCUCAGUCAGCUCCUAGCGAUUUUUGAUCAGUUGGAUGUUGUUUCCUACGAGGAAGUCGUUCGGCUCCCUGCAUUCAAGAGGAAGACCCUGGUGCUGAUCGGAGCCAGUGGGGUGGGUCGCAGCCACAUUAAGAAUGCCCUGCUCAGCCAGAAUCCGGAGAAGUUUGUGUACCCUGUCCCAUGUAAGUAGCUCUUAGGCACCUUGGAGGGGAGGUGACAGGCUGGUACCACUCGCCAUCUGAAAUACCAUAGUGUUAUUUUAUUAUUUUUUAAAUUAUUUUAUUUUAAAUGAUUAUUAAAACUAAACAAAAUAUGGAAAGAUAAAAAUUUGUGCCCACAAUUCCUCCACCUAACAGAAUAACUG
RNAcentral lists this long non-coding RNA (460 nucleotides) under Homo sapiens (human). RNAcentral's name for it is "non-protein coding lnc-GAB3-2:1". Lineage: Eukaryota; Metazoa; Chordata; Mammalia; Primates; Hominidae. The record is from RNAcentral.